Molecule: long non-coding RNA, 1246 nt
Organism: Zea mays
Lineage: Eukaryota; Viridiplantae; Streptophyta; Magnoliopsida; Poales; Poaceae
Exons: 2
Source: RefSeq, a predicted model, not a curated record
GCGACAUUCACUCGUCGGCCCAGGGACCACCGGUCUCGGAACGCCGACAAUUAUUGUCUUGGUUCAUAUUGCAUAACCAUCGGAGCAAUGAAAGCCUCACCCAUUUUUGGAUUGUCUAGAUUGGUUUGACGCUGAAGAAGCUAUUUGAAGAGGGUGUAGUGAAGCGACGAGAUCUGUUUAUCACCUCUAAGUUGUGGUAUGCUCAAAUCUCUGGUGAUAUUCCAAUAUUUAUGUCUCAUGCAUCUCAUUUUGGAAAAACUCGUACGAAAAGCAUAUUUCAGGUGGAAUUUGGUCUUCAGUGCAUAUACACCUGCAAUUUGUUGUUUCUAUGUGAAUUUUUUGUUUGAGUGUGACCAUCAACAAUUUGUGGCGACGUAUAGCUGUCCCAUGCACUAUGGAGAUUUUUCAUGGGAGACUCACUGAAGCAGAUGCACACAGAUACUUGUUAGGCAAAGAGAAGAGCUGAAGAUAGGAUUAGCUUCUAUCUAUAUUGCAGAGUUUGCUGGUACCAGGAAACACAAAAGAAAUACAAUACUCCUAUCUAGCACCUGUCUAGAUCUCCUUCCAGAAAGAAACCAUAGGCUAAAUGAUGGGGCCACCAGCAUAGCAUGAGUAUACAAUGAGAGCAGAUCAUAACCACCAGCAUUAUAGCUGAUUUUAAAAAGUAAGUGUUACUUUGAAAGUUUCUCCUUUUUAGGGUCACAAAUGAUUGGAUUUUUUUGGUUAUAUACCAUUUGUUUGCUUGCAUUAUAGUUGCUUUUUUGUGGUUUGAAUCUAACAGGAUUUUUCCUACUUUUGUUGUAUUGUUUAUUUUUUAGAAAAAAACACAGUAAAAAUACGGACCUCCAGUUUAUAAACACUCGACAUGUAGACUAGCGAGAUAUAAUAUAGAUUAAACAACAGUCAAUAAAUGAUAUUAGGAAGAAGCUUGUGUAGCAUCGGUGGCCCUAUGGGGGCAUGCUAUGUUCACAAUGUAUCAGUGGCCUUGUCAGUUUUAUUUUGAUCCCCUCAAGGCCUUGCAACCAUUUCCCAAGCCACAAUAUCCAAGAGAUGGCAAUGUCACUCAAAGAAGCAGCUGUUCUUAGUAUGUGAUUUAGGAAUUCAAUGAAUUAUAUCUAUGUGUGGUUACACAAGUCCUAUGAUGACAAUCUGUAACAUGUGUAUGCUUGUAUUUGAACCUGAAACCUGUGUAGGCUGGUGUGAGAUCUGUUUGUGGUAUUUUUGGCAACCUGAAACCUAUUUUCUA